This is a long non-coding RNA of Sitodiplosis mosellana (orange wheat blossom midge), 1786 nucleotides long. RefSeq lists it as uncharacterized. The transcript is spliced from 3 exons. NCBI's taxonomy places the organism in Eukaryota, Metazoa, Arthropoda, Insecta, Diptera, Cecidomyiidae. The record is from RefSeq and is a predicted model, not a curated record.
UUGUUUGCUCUGAAGGCUGAGUACAUUUCGCCGUGACUGCUAUCUUCUUGUUUGUAUUGAGUACGGUUCACACGUGCAUUGAUGCAAUCGUUUUUAUUCGUUAAAAUUACAUUGGUUUAAAUCAUUUUUGCGGCGAGUGCGACAAAUUUGUGGUGGACUUAUUGCCAUUCUUUCAUGUUUGAACUAAACAAAUUCAAUAUUGAACCAACGUUAUUGAUACUCUCUUAAUGGGCAUCUGAAUACAAGAUUCAGAUGAAAUUCACCACAUAAUUCAAUCGGCGAGAGCAAAUGUUCUUCACUAUUAACAUACUACAGGGUGGCUGACAUGAACUGCAAAAAACUAAAAAGCUAUAACUUUUUUAUUUGUGAACAUUUUUAUUGAUUCCAAAGGCAAAAGUUAUCGGGAAAUAGGCAAAAUUUAAGAAUCCAUCAAUCAAUUUCAAUAUGGUCUCCUUCAUAUGACCUGGCUGGCAAGUAGACUCUAUCAUUUUGUUUGUUUACAUGUUGCUCGAUUGAAAUUGGCAUCUCAUCAGAGAACACGAUGUUCGGAAUCUGGCCACGUUCGUGCAAGCGAAGCAAUUCCUUCGCUCUUUCCACUCUAGUUUUUUUUUGAUCGGUUGUAAGAUCGUGCCGUUUUUGGAAUUUUAAGGGUUUGAGUUCAAGUUUGUUUUUGACUAUGUGUUGCAUCCGUUCUCUCGAAAUAUUCAGCUCAGCAGCCAUUUUUCUUCCGCUGCGGCGUGGAUUUCGCUCAAUUCGAGCCUUCACUUUCCGAGCCAUUUCUGGCGAAGUGGCAGUUCUUUUCGGACCACCUCCAUAGCGUUUUGCAAUGCUGCCAGUAUUGUUGUAACGAGCUAUGGUUCGAGACACAAAGGAUGGAGUCACUUUAAGGUGGUGCAGUUGUCUAACGAUAGCAGCUUGUGCCUUUCCAGCCAAAUAAAGUGCAAUCACACUAUUACGUUUGAAUUCCAUCACGGAAAAAUUUGUUCAGACAAAACUAAGACGUAAAUGCUUCUGCAGUCUUGUAAACAAUAGAAUGAACAGUCAACAGACGAAUUUUGACAAAGCUGUCAUCAGCGGAUCGUCAGAUAUACUGCCCUGAAAUUUGUUGCAGUUCAUGUCAGCCACCCUGUACUAAAUCAUAUUUAGAAAAUAAAAAUGAAUUUUCUCCAACCGGUUGCAAAAUAAUCGAGGCCAACUUCAUGCAGUUUUAUCAUCAAUCAGCAGAUUUGUAUUGCGUCGCUUUAGCAUUAACAAAACAAACAACGAACUGUCGAAUUCGCAAAAUCUAAUUUUGUGUAAAAAUUGAUCACAUUCAGAAGUGCUGAAACAUCAAGCAUCAGAAUAAGCGAACACCAGAUGAAUUACAACAUGAAUCGUAAUCCAAACAAUGCAGUUGAGCACAAUCAAAUGGAAGUGGGCGAUGAUGGUUCCAAUGCCAUGAAUUCUUCAUCUUCUUCUGUGGUCAAUGUCAAAGAAGCAAAUCAACAGCGCGCACCGAAUGUUCCAAAGCAUCCACCACUCUUUGAAUGCGACAUCGAUUGUUUCCAAGAAAUCUUCGAAUGGCUCACAUUCACCCGGCAAUAUUCUGUCAAUUUUUCUAUGUAAAACAUUGAGUGUGAAAUAGUAGAGCGCCACUACUGGAGAACGGCAGAAUGCGAAAGAAAAAAUUUCAAAUUUGUUCGCGCUCAAAUUCAUUCCGUCAUAUUCAUUUUUGUUUUGAUGUCGAAACAGUGAAAAAAAUAAAAAAAAUAAAUUUGAAAUAAAAUAAAAUACAAUUUAAAUUAAA